UGGGGAAUAUUGCACAAUGGGCGAAAGCCUGAUGCAGCGACGCCGCGUGAGGGAUGACGGCCUUCGGGUUGUAAACCUCUUUCAGUAGGGACGAAGCGCAAGUGACGGUACCUGCAGAAGAAGCACCGGCUAACCACGUGCCAGCAGCCGCGGUAAUACGUAGGGUGCGAGCGUUGUCCGGAAUUACUGGGCGUAAAGAGCUCGUAGGCGGUUUGUCACGUCGUCUGUGAAAUCCUAGGGCUUAACCCUGGACGUGCAGGCGAUACGGGCUGACUUGAGUACUACAGGGGAGACUGGAAUUUCUGGUGUAGCGGUGGAAUGCACAGAUAUCAGGAAGAACACCGAUGGCGAAGGCAGGUCUCUGGGUAGUAACUGACGCUGAGGAGCGAAAGCAUGGGUAGCGAACAGG
This 409-nucleotide ribosomal RNA is filed under the name bacterium. RNAcentral describes it as "partial 16S ribosomal RNA". It matches the Rfam family "Bacterial small subunit ribosomal RNA", at positions 355 to 776 of the family's 1533-position model. The record is from RNAcentral.